Long non-coding RNA from Prunus dulcis (almond), 394 nucleotides. RefSeq lists it as uncharacterized. Lineage: Eukaryota; Viridiplantae; Streptophyta; Magnoliopsida; Rosales; Rosaceae. The record is from RefSeq and is a predicted model, not a curated record. The transcript has 2 exons.
GAGCAUGUGAUAGUCUCUCUGCCAAAGUCCACCAAACCAACAUCUCUCAGCCGCCAACAAACCAGUUGUUCUUCCCCUCCAAACCAACAAACUAGAUCAUGUAGCCGCUGGCGAUCUCGAGCAGCUCAAAGCUUUGGCCAUUCAACGCCGCGGAGUUCAAGCCGUCCAGGUUGCCAAAUCUCCCCCGAUGCAUGGUUGAAUAAUAUGCAAGAAUUUGAUAAAGAUCGACGCAAUGAACUUUUGGGGUUUUCUACGGGGUUUUCCAUUCCCUUUUUAUAGUUUAAUUUCUCCAUGUAACAAGAUGGUGGGUUUUCUAUGGUAUUAGCAUCAUCCAGAAUAUGUGGUUUUUAUGAUUAGAUUAUUAUGAAUAUAUUUAGCAGAUAUUGUGAUGCAA